UAAUAUUCGACCAUUAUCUUCUAUUAUGCCUAUAAAAUAUGAAGUAUUAAUUUUCGUUAUUUCACAUUGUCAUAACAUUCUAAUAAUCUCGGCAAAGAAUAUUUGAUUUAAAGAAAAUCAUGAUGAAGAAAGGAAUCAUUCUCCUAAUGUUUGUGGCUAUGUUUACUCUCUUUAGCCAAACCUAUGGAAGGAAGAUUGAUGGUCGUCCAGACUAUUGUACAAGGGGAGUGAUGUUGUCCGGACUAUGUGGUGACGGGAGUGCAUGUGCCGAUGCAGUCAGAGAGAAAUAUGCAGGAGUGGAGAUUAGAACUUGUUCUUGUCAUGAUACUCCAAUUAAGCUUGCCUUUUGCUCAUGUGAUAUUAUUUGCUAGUUAAGAGAGUAAAAGAAAGUCAUUUUUGAAUCUCAAGGAAUUUCACUUUUUAAAGAUGUAUAAAUAAGAUGAUCCGAUUUCGAAUAUGCGUUUCA
Molecule: long non-coding RNA, 466 nt
Organism: Lathyrus oleraceus (garden pea)
Lineage: Eukaryota; Viridiplantae; Streptophyta; Magnoliopsida; Fabales; Fabaceae
Exons: 2
Source: RefSeq, a predicted model, not a curated record